RNAcentral lists this ribosomal RNA (447 nucleotides) under uncultured bacterium. RNAcentral's name for it is "bacterial SSU rRNA". It matches the Rfam family "Bacterial small subunit ribosomal RNA", at positions 355 to 825 of the family's 1533-position model. The record is from RNAcentral.
UGGGGAAUUUUGGGCAAUGGGCGAAAGCCUGACCCAGCAACGCCGCGUGAAGGAUGAAGUAUUUCGGUAUGUAAACUUCGUAAGAAUAGGAAGAAUAAAUGACGGUACUAUUUGUAAGGUCCGGCUAACUACGUGCCAGCAGCCGCGGUAAUACGUAGGGACCAAGCGUUGUUCGGAUUUACUGGGCGUAAAGGGCGCGUAGGCGGUGUGUCAAGUCAGUUGUGAAAUCUCCGAGCUUAACUUGGAACGGUCAACUGAUACUGUCACACUAGAGUACAGAAGGGGCAAUCGGAAUUCUUGGUGUAGCGGUGAAAUGCGUAGAUAUCAAGAGGAACACCUGAGGUGAAGACGGGUUGCUGGGCUGACACUGACGCUGAGGCGCGAAAGCCAGGGGAGCAAACGGGAUUAGAUACCCACGUAGUCCCUGAGCGGGCUGGCAAGGCGCAU